This 529-nucleotide ribosomal RNA is filed under the name uncultured bacterium. Its description in RNAcentral is "bacterial SSU rRNA". It matches the Rfam family "Bacterial small subunit ribosomal RNA", at positions 17 to 518 of the family's 1533-position model. The record is from RNAcentral.
UUAUGGCUCAGGACGAACGCUGGCGGCGUGCCUAAUACAUGCAAGUCGAACGGUCUUUCUAUGGAAGCUUGCUUCCACUGAGAAGAUAGUGGCGAACGGGUGAGUAACACGUGGGUAACCUGCCCAUAAGAGGGGGGAUAACAUCCGGAAACGGGUGCUAAUACCGCAUAGUUUUCUUGAUCGCAUGAUUGAGAAAGGAAAGACGGCCUUUGUGCUGUCGCUUAUGGAUGGACCCGCGGCGUAUUAGUUAGUUGGUGAGGUAACGGCUCACCAAGACGAUGAUACGUAGCCGACCUGAGAGGGUGAUCGGCCACAUUGGGACUGAGACACGGCCCAAACUCCUACGGGAGGCAGCAGUAGGGAAUCUUCCGCAAUGGACGAAAGUCUGACGGAGCAACGCCGCGUGAGUGAAAGAAGGUUUUCGGAUCGUAAAACUCUGUUGUCAGAGAAGAACAAGUUGGAGAGUAACUGCUCCAGCCUUGACGGUAUCUGACCAGAAAGCCACGGCUAACUACGUGCCAGCCGCGGC